UAGCAAACGGGUGAGUAAUAUAUAGGAAUCUACCAUAUGGUGAGGAAUAAGUGUGGGAAACUAUGUCUAAUACCACAUAAUACCGGUUUCGGGAAAGGAGUAAUCUGCCAUAUGAUGAGCCUAUAUCAGAUUAGCUAGUUGGUGGGGUAAAGGCCUACCAAGGCGAAGAUCUGUAGCUGGUCUGAGAGGGUGAUCAGCCACAUUGGGACUGCGACACGGCCCAAACUCC
Molecule: ribosomal RNA, 229 nt
Filed under: uncultured bacterium
Lineage: Bacteria
Description: partial 16S ribosomal RNA
Rfam family: Bacterial small subunit ribosomal RNA
Source: RNAcentral